Long non-coding RNA from Schistocerca americana (American grasshopper), 1055 nucleotides. RefSeq lists it as uncharacterized. Lineage: Eukaryota; Metazoa; Arthropoda; Insecta; Orthoptera; Acrididae. The record is from RefSeq and is a predicted model, not a curated record. The transcript has 3 exons.
GCCGGCUGGGCCGGGCCCGCGACCGGUCUGGAGGCGAGCCGGCCGGAUGCUGGCCGCGCCGAGCGGGACGUCCCGCGCCCGGCCUCCGGGUCACCGUCUGGGACUGGUCCCAUUCCCACACGGGACAUCUUCGGGUCAGCGGCGGGGUCAGCGCUUCUGCGUCCGAUCUCCCGGUGCGGGAAGUGACUGUGGCCGCCACUGGAGCCAGUAAUCCUUGCAAGUGCGUCCCGUCCAGUCGGUACGGCUGCUCCAGAGGUGCUCGUCCUACACGACGGGGAGAGCCGCAGCAUCCAUCCCGUACCCAGCGCGGGCAUGUCGAUGGCUGCAACUACCGACAUUCUUCGGAUGUGACUCGCCAGUUUCCUGAGGGUGAAUAGAGCGGCCGUAUCGGCAGCGACAAGUGCACACCGUCUGGAAUGCGUCCAGAGGUACUGCAGUUCAUUUUCCGGGCUGGUGUGGCUGUAGCCAUCGGUGGUCGAAUGCUACUGCAGCUCCGGAGUUCCACAAGCGCUGGGAGAAGAGCAUUAACGGAGUGAUGCGGCGAUACGUGUGGGUGAUGUAACGGAAGAGAACCGGACGCUGCAGCUCCAAGGAGCGUUCGGUGCUCUGCAGAAGCUGUGCAGAUAAUGCUGGCUCUACAAGGCCAGGAACUGAGAUUACACCACGUCUAAAUGAAUUGGAGGAUGGAACUGCGGCGCCAACCGGUUCUGAGCAGCAUUGUUCAACAUAUAGUUUUACGAAGGAAUCCUAAUGGCCUGAAAUCUAAGAAUUAAUGCUCCACAGCGUAGAUGUCUGCGAGAGCGGAGAGCGGAAGCCCAUUCUGAAGACAACUGUCGCCAUUGCGGACUGUUAGUUGAGAACACGUAUGUUCGGUUCCUAAACGGAAUCAAAUACUGUUCAGAAAAAUGUGUGCAUAAUUUCUCUAGUAAAGGGGAGAGAAUUUUGGGAUGAUUUGAAGAAAAAAGCUUAAGAACACGAGUUGCUUAUGAAAUUUUCAGCUCUGCUGAAAGGAUUAAUUAUUCCCUGGAACUUGAAAAUGUUUUAACUGAACCGUA